AUGGCCUGGACCGCUCUCCUGCUCCCCCUCCUCACUCUUGGCUCAGGCUCCGUGGCCUCCUACGAGCUGACCCAGUCGUCUUCCUUGUCGGUGGCCUCGGGAGAGACGGCCACGAUCACCUGCACUGGAGAUUUCAUCGAUAAAAGAUAUACUCUCUGGUACCAGCAGAAGCCCGGCCAGGUCCCUGCGCUGGUCAUUUAUAAGGAUAGCGAGCGGCCCUCGGGGAUCCCUGAGCGAUUCUCCGGCUCCAGCUCAGGGAAGACUGUCACGCUGACCAUCAGCGGGGCCCAGGCUGAGGACGAGGCUGACUAUUACUGUCUGUCAGAUGAGAGCGAUGAUAGUGCUCACAAAUGCCCCAGCUAUGGGAGCUCAGGAAGUCCCAGCGUGUCGUGA
Non-coding RNA from Pteronotus mesoamericanus, 393 nucleotides. The record is from the annotation of a RefSeq genome assembly. Lineage: Eukaryota; Metazoa; Chordata; Mammalia; Chiroptera; Mormoopidae.